Molecule: ribosomal RNA, 414 nt
Filed under: uncultured bacterium
Lineage: Bacteria
Description: bacterial SSU rRNA
Rfam family: Bacterial small subunit ribosomal RNA
Source: RNAcentral
AAUCAACGCUGGCGGCGUGCCUAAUACAUGCAAGUCGAACGCGAAAGUCCCGCAAGGGAUGAGUAGAGUGGCAAACGGGUGAGUAACGCGUGGGUGACCUGCCUUCGAGUGGGGGAUAACGUUCCGAAAGGGACGCUAAUACCGCAUGACAUCCUGCCUUUUAAGAGGUGGAGAUCAAAGCUGGGGAUCGCAAGACCUAGCGCUUGAAGAGGGGCCCGCGUCCGAUUAGCUAGUUGGUGGGGUAACGGCUCACCAAGGCAUCGAUCGGUAGCCGGCCUGAGAGGGCGGACGGCCACACUGGGACUGAGACACGGCCCAGACUCCUACGGGAGGCAGCAGUAGGGAAUUGUUCGCAAUGGGCGCAAGCCUGACGACGCAACGCCGCGUGGAGGAUGAAGACCUUCGGUCGUAACU